Molecule: ribosomal RNA, 500 nt
Filed under: uncultured bacterium
Lineage: Bacteria
Description: partial 16S ribosomal RNA
Rfam family: Bacterial small subunit ribosomal RNA
Source: RNAcentral
AUUGAACGCUGGCGGAAUGCUUUACACAUGCAAGUCGAGCGGCAGCGCGGGGGCAACCCUGGCGGCGAGCGGCGAACGGGUGAGUAACAUAUCGGAACGUACCCAGUGGUGGGGGAUAACACAUCGAAAGAUGUGCUAAUACCGCAUACGACCUGAGGGUGAAAGGGGGGGAUCGCAAGACCUCUCGCCGUUGGAGCGGCCGAUGGCAGAUUAGGUAGUUGGUGGGGUAAAGGCUCACCAAGCCGACGAUCUGUAGCUGGUCUGAGAGGACGACCAGCCACACUGGGACUGAGACACGGCCCAGACUCCUACGGGAGGCAGCAGUGGGGAAUUUUGGACAAUGGGCGCAAGCCUGAUCCAGCCAUUCCGCGUGCAGGAUGAAGGCCCUCGGGUUGUAAACUGCUUUUGUACGGAACGAAAAGGCUCUGGUUAAUACCUGGGGCUCAUGACGGUACCGUAAGAAUAAGCACCGGCUAACUACGUGCCAGCAGCCGCCGUAA